GGGCUGGGGCUCAGCGGCAGAGCCCUCGCCUUGCAUGUGUGAGACCCUGAGUUCAAUCCUCAGCACCACA
Molecule: transfer RNA, 70 nt
Filed under: Marmota monax (woodchuck)
Lineage: Eukaryota; Metazoa; Chordata; Mammalia; Rodentia; Sciuridae
Description: tRNA.Ala
Rfam family: tRNA (bases 5-65)
About the family: Transfer RNA (tRNA) molecules are approximately 80 nucleotides in length. Their secondary structure includes four short double-helical elements and three loops (D, anti-codon, and T loops).
Source: RNAcentral